CGGAGAAAUUUCUGCUGUCUGUUUUUGGCCAUGAAGGGAAAAACAGAGAAAGAAGAGUAGCUAAUCAGACUCUACAUUUCAGUGAGUCUACUGAAAUCCAGGAGCAAUUGGAGAACUCAUCAUCCCUUCCUUUCUGAGAAGAGGUAAUAAUUGUGCAUAGACAAAUAUAAAUAGUUUGUAUUAAUAUUCUGUUACUCCAAAUGAUAAUGACUAGAUCUUGCUAUGUACUUCUGUAUAACCUCUACUUUUAAUUUUGUUA
This is a long non-coding RNA of Nothoprocta perdicaria, 259 nucleotides long. RefSeq lists it as uncharacterized. The record is from RefSeq and is a predicted model, not a curated record. The transcript is spliced from 2 exons. Lineage: Eukaryota; Metazoa; Chordata; Aves; Tinamiformes; Tinamidae.